GUCAAAAAUGAGCUGAGACUAUUUCCAUAUGGCAAGAUGAUAAAAUGUCAAGAUGGUGGGUCCAGGUCAAGGGUCAGACCUCCCAUUGCCCACCGUCCAGUGUCUGGAGGAAGCCACUUCAUAUAUCUUACCUGGAGAGAAGAUUUCACAGUAGUUCAUUGUUGAUCUGCUGCCAGUGUGUCAGCUCUAUUUCUGGCUGAGUCUUUGCAGGAUUGCAGAGGCACAAAAGGACAAACUGAGGCACCCGAAGGAGCGUUUUGAUAUAUUGCCUCAAAUUCAUGGCAUCCCCAUGCCAGCCUCCUCAGUGUUGGGAUUCCAGGUGAGUGAGUGUUACAUGUUCAUUCAGAGCAGCAGUUCUCAGCUUGUGGGUCUCCACCCCCACAGGGGCUGCAAAAUCCAUAUUUACA
RNAcentral lists this long non-coding RNA (407 nucleotides) under Cricetulus griseus (Chinese hamster). Its description in RNAcentral is "lncRNA (ENSCGRG00000026658.1)". The record is from RNAcentral. Lineage: Eukaryota; Metazoa; Chordata; Mammalia; Rodentia; Cricetidae.